Molecule: ribosomal RNA, 560 nt
Filed under: Lactobacillus taiwanensis
Lineage: Bacteria; Bacillati; Bacillota; Bacilli; Lactobacillales; Lactobacillaceae
Description: bacterial SSU rRNA
Rfam family: Bacterial small subunit ribosomal RNA
Source: RNAcentral
GACCCCCUAGGGGGGCCGAGUUGGGAAUCUUUCACAAUGGACGCAAGUCUGAUGGAGCAACGCCGCGUGAGUGAAGAAGGGUUUCGGCUCGUAAAGCUCUGUUGGUAGUGAAGAACGAUAGAGGUAGUAACUGGCCUUUAUUUGACGGUAAUUAACCAGAAAGUCACGGCUAACUACGUGCCAGCAGCCGCGGUAAUACGUAGGUGGCAAGCGUUGUCCGGAUUUAUUGGGCGUAAAGAGAGUGCAGGCGGUUCAAUAAGUCUGAUGUGAAAGCCUUCGGCUUAACCGGAGAAGUGCAUCGGAAACUGGAGAACUUGAGUGCAGAAGAGGAGAGUGGAACUCCAUGUGUAGCGGUGGAAUGCGUAGAUAUAUGGAAGAACACCAGUGGCGAAGGCGGCUACCUGGUCUGCAACUGACGCUGAGGCUCGAAAGCAUGGGUAGCGAACAGGAUUAGAUACCCUGGUAGUCCAUGCCGUAAACGAUGAGUGCUAGGUGUUGGGGGGUUUCCGCCUUUCAGUGCUGGAGCUAACGCAUUAAGCACUCCGCCUGGGAGAUCACGA